GUCACCGACGGCCCAAGAGUCGCCCGACGCGAGGCCGAAACCGACCCGGAAUCGAAUCGCUAACUUUUUUUCUCGAUCCCCGCCGCGCCGCCGCUCCCUCUUCGCCCUAGCAACUCCGCUGGCGGCAGGCGAGCGAGCAGAGAUGAACGCCGCUGCUCCCGCCGUCGCGCCUCCCCUCUCAGGCCUCAGCCUCUUACUCCACCUCAAUCUGCCGGCGAGGAAUUUCGGAUUCCAGCGACAAGGGGCGCAUCGGAGAUCCUUUGGCGCGCGGCUGCGACAGAGCUCGUCCCUCCUCUUCCACGGCCACCAAUAGCGCAGCUCCCUUUCCUCCUCGAACGCUCGCUCAGGUUGCUCCGUUCCUCAGCCGAUUCGUCUAAUUGCCAACAUAUCUGCAUAAGCUACAUCCAAAUUAAGCAGUACCAGUCCCAAAAAGAUUACUCUGGCCAGUGAAAGAAGCCAGUAUUCGGUGUGGUCUGUUCGAUGUGCUACAGAUUUAUAUGUAUACAAGAAGAUCGAUCUUGCCUCUUAUGCAGUCUGGUAGAUUUGGAAAGAAAGGAAUUGCAGAUUUUAUUUGGACAAAGAGAUAAAGCCACAAAGGCCUACUUCGUUCCUGGCUAGGAAUAGUUUCUGAAUGUUGGUUCCUGUAAUGAAAUCCUACAUGUGGAAGUUCUCAUCUACAGUAGGGCACAUGAUCGGAAAGGGGUUUUCUAUGGCUGAUCUGGCAGGAUUCGAUUCGGUACAAGACCAUCACCGAUGCAGACAACAAGGGGUUCAUCGUGCCAGGCACCUCGGUGCUGCUUCCGUGCGACGGCGGCAGCGGCUACAGAAACAGCUACGGUGAGCUCCUCUCCUCGCCUCCAGUGGUUGCUCUGAGCUCAACAUGGCCAUCGUGCCAUGGCUAUGUCUGGUUAGGCUGCUACAGGUACGCCUUGCAUAAUGAUGGUGCUACUCUUUGUUUGUUUGUUCGUUUCUCUGCCUUGCUGCCUGCCUGAUAGAAACCUGCUGAGUAUAUGUCUUUGAGCAGCAACUGCUAGAAUAUAUAUAGCUCAUGUUCUUGCUGAUUCCCAUCCCACUCAAAGUCUGAAACACUUCUUCGCACUCAACAACUAGGCAGCACACCUGAAUAUAUAUGCAUACAUGUAUGUAGUUUCCACUACACACAUGGAGCAGUCUUGUUAGUUUCGGGAUGUAGUAUCACCACUUAAUUUGUUCCCUGCCUGCCUCCAUGAAAUUCCGACUGCAUAUAUGUGGUCUAUGUACCAUCCAUGAUAUGCACUUGCAUCCUCAACUCAUGUUGGUACUGUUUUAUUUCCAAGGAUGCCUUCCUACUCCUGCUAGUUUAGUUGUCGUGUGGCCGUGUUUCCAGGAUGAUGAAAUUCCAAAUAUCUGGUUGUGGCGUGCUGCUCUCUUUUGACACUAAUUUUAUAUCACUACAAUUGUUCAUACAACAUGGAGGGCCGGUACGGACGCCAUGAUGUUGCAAGGUUGCUUGUCCUAGUAUGUCUUGCUUGCCCAUUUAAUAUGUAUAUCACUUCAUUCAAUUAAGAAAGGCAUUUCCGACAGUGUCAUGGUAAGAAGUCGUCUCAAGAAGAGUGGCGCCAUAAUAAGCAUAGCGGUCAAUAGAAGGAAGCGGGCGAGCACAGAAGCCAUAGGUUGAGUUGGAGGCGGUGCGUUACCAACAGAGCAAGGCAUGGUAGUCGAGGGAGAUGGCGCAUUAGAAGAAUCCACAACACGUUGACGACCAAUGUGGUAAGAAGAGGAUGAGGGGGAAUCACCAGAGAAGCCUCAAGGGACAAGAGAGGUUUGAGGCAGUCGCAGGUAAUGAACAAGGUGAGGAAGCCACGGGUGAUGAUGGCAUGGGAUCUCAACACUAGUACGGGAAGACACAGUGGGAGGGGUGGAGUGAUAGGUAUAUCUGGAGAAGUGAGGAAAUAAAUAUCAUCAAUGGGAGGAUGGACGUGGAUAGAAAGGAUGAGACUCACCAAAAGCCAUGUCCCGAGAAAUGCGCAUCUGACCGACAAGAUCCUAAGAAGAGACAUUCAAAAGACCGAGCAACCUGUUUGGUGUGUUUAUGGGGGGCAAGAAGAAAAGAUAGCACUCGCUACCAAACAAAUGAAGCGCUGAGUAGUCACUAGAACAACCAAAAAGACGGUUGAGUGAAAUGUCACCCUUCAGAGUAGAGGAAGACUGAAUGUUGAUGAGAUGGGUGGAAGUAGGAAUAUCCAAAAAAUGAGGUGGAAGAGAGGCGACAAUCAUCAAUGCAUGAGCUGCCUCAAGAAAGUGAUGAUGCUUGCGCUCAUCAACACCAGUUUGAGCAUGAGCACCAGGAGAAGAGAAUUGAGCAGUGUGCCCUGCUCAGCAUGGAAUCUUCGCAUCAUAUGAAAAAAAUACUCAUGAAUAUGAGAGAAAUACUCCUGAGCAAAAUUUUCACGGAAGACACUGAUAGGAGUGGAAAACUGGGUAUGAACCAUGGCAAUAAACUUCUUACAGAUAGAUAAGAUCUCACUACAAGAAGAUAUAAAAUAUAUCCAUGUCUGUCGAGAGUAAUCAUCUAUAAAGAUAAUAUAGUAGCGAUGGCCUCCUAUCGAGGCAAAGGAAGCUAGACCCCAAACAUUAGAGUGAACAAGAUCGAAAUGACGUUGAUACAUCGUCUCGCUGUGAGGAUAAAGUAACUGAACCUGUUUACCAAGGUGACAAAUCUGACAGUUUAAAGACACAACACCCGAGACAGAUCCAAGAAAACCACGUCAAACUAAGGAUGAGGGACGAGAGCCAUACAAGUGACCGACGGUGAUGCAACAUAGAGCCGGUAGCCGAGGAAACAGAGGCGAAGAGCCGAAGAGACUAGCAGCGGUGUCAGCAUGGCAGGUGAAGCCAAUCAAGCUCCUGGAGGUCCUGGGAGUCACUGCGCCAAGGGCCAACACAAAGUAGGGCACCCGUGUGACGAUCCUAAUCUAACCACCUGAAAUGAGCAAACGAAGGAACAUGACAAGACAAAGUGCUAAUAGUGCCUCGACUAUCGAAUGGGAGGGAAGUACCAUCAGCAGUAAGAACAUGAACAUGAGAAUCUAUAGGUUUGAAUGGAGGACAAACCGAAAGAAUCAUGAGUCGUAUGAAAAGACGCUCUAGUAUGAAGGAUCCAUAGAAAGAUGUGCUUCCAGCCUAGAAAUGAGUUUAGUGCCUAGAAAUGAGUUCAGUGCUCAACCUCGUGGUAGCAAACAUAUAUGAUACUUUUUGGACAUUUCUCACAAUAGCAUUUUGGCAUGUGGAAUAGGUGGUUGGGCUAGACAGGUCUUAUGGAAUACCACGGAAAAUUGGGACGAGCAACUCAGCUCAAGGUUCCUAUUCGCAAGUUAAAGUGAAGAAAAGACAGAGGAUGGCGAGGGGGUGCUGCUCUUGACAGUGUUUUCAUUGCUUCCACAUACCUCCCUUGCAUUUUCCAUUUCUCGUCGAUCCGACUUGGCGUCCUUCCCCUGUUUGCGGGUUGUGUGUCACGGACUUGAUUCCGCAUUCCACGUUCCCUUAUUGGGCGUCCUUGGCCUUGGCGACAGGUAGCAUCGUGCUCCUGGGUGCUUUGCGUCCUCGCGUAAGACGGAGACGGUGCCGACUGUCGUGCUCUUGCUCCGCCAGUGGUGGUUUUUGAGCUUGUGGCUAUUGGGGCAACCUUCAUGGGAGCACGGGAUGUAGGAACAAGGCAGCACACAAAGCAACUUGCAGCCAGGUAAAGGAUACCCUGCCGGACUGGCAGGCAGUGGAGAGUACACGGGAGGUGUGGUUAAAGGGUGAAAACGCUGUUGGGACGUACUGCCGGUGUCGUCAGUCUUUGGACCUAGAGCUGAGCAAGAGGGGAUGGCGAUAAGGAAGCAGGGAAGAUGGGAAGAGGGAACUGGGAGGAGAAAGGCAUCACCCGCCGUGAUGGUGGACGGUUGUGGGCAUGGUAUGGUUGUUGUGGAGGUGUCACAACUAUUGUGUUGUGUGGGUGUGUUUGGUUGUUACUGGCAGGGCACUCUCCUAUGUGCUGUCGUCAUCCGAGAUCCCUUGUGUGGCUCAUUGGUGGUGAAAGCCCUGCACUUACUAUGGUUGGCGCCGAUGUAACGACGGCUACCUUGCCCGUUGUUUCCUUCUUGAAGGCCUCAUUGUGGUGCUACGUCCCUCGCCGUCGUGAUUUUCUAUUUGGAAAGGUUGAUUUGUAGUCAGGCUUGAUGGAUGUCGGAGCGGCGGCUUUAGACGGUGGUUGUAUGUCGAGGCAGUGACAUUGGUUAGGGGUUAAUGGGUAGGUCAGUGGAUCUACAUUGCAUGGGUGGCGUCUAUAUGCUAUGAGGGUAGCGAGUUCAUCGGCACGGCCGAAGUGAUCUGUGGGUCCGGUCUUGGUGGCGUCUAUAUGCUAUGAGGGUAGCGAGUUCAUCGGCACGGCCGAAGCGAUAUGUGGGUCCGGUCUUGGUGGUGUUUAUAUGCUAUGAGGGUAGCAAGUUCAUAUCAUAAAGAAGGAACAUGACAAGACAAAGUGCUAAGAGUGCCUCGACUAUCUGGGAGGGAAGUACCAUCAGCAGUAAGAACAUGAACAUGAGAAUCUAGAGGUAUGAAUGGAAGACAAACCGGAAGGAUCAAGAGUCAUAUGAAAAUACGGAUCCAUGGAAAUAUACCCAACUGUGUAAAAAGUGGUCUAACACACUGAAGUCUCGUAAUCUCCAGCAUCGUGAGGGGUUCAACUGAAGAGGUCAACGAAGAAGCAUCAGGCGAUGAAGAACCAGAAACAGUAAUUAGGUAUCGAAGUUGUGCAAUCUCUUGCGCGGUGAAGGACACUGUUGAAAUGGUCGACGUGGAUUCACCAGAAGAGUGGUUGCCACCACCACCUGUGUGAGCCGCUAGAGGAGGCGGUGAGGCGGUGUAGUUCGACAAAUACCAGUUGUAGAAGUUGGUGGAGGAGACUGCGUCGCAAGCACAAAAGCACCAAGCGCGAUGAGAAGGUGCAUUUGCUAGACAUAGCCAGUGGAGUGAUGUGCACCAACGCUAUUGACGAAAGCCGGGAGGGGAUGUUGUGUUGAGUGACCAUCACCGUCUGCGGAGGCACGAGAGGUGUCACUAUGGAGCCACCACCACUCUUGCAAAAGCCCCUUUUAUAAUGUGAAAAUAUAAAGGGCACAUGGCUAUAAUAUAUUACUCUUAACAUGUUGAACACCCGAGCAUUGUGUUCCUUCCAUAUGUCUAAAAUGCGAGCAACGCUGUCGACUCGAGUCCAUAGUGCGCCUAGCCAAUCCACCAGUUGGAAAGAGAAACGUCCCCCCCCCCCCCCCCGGGGGGGCAGCGGUGAUGUUGAAGAGGCGGUCACCAAUUUCUAGAUUGCCGUCAAGGAGAGCUGGUGAAUAGAUGUUGAGCUGUCUUAGGGGCACUGAAGUAGAGGGUGCAGGCGAUAUGGAUGUCACCGGAGAAGCCUAAGGUUAUGAGCAAGGUGAAGUAGCCUCAGGUAACGAAUGAGGUGGGGAAGCUGCAGGUGAUGACAGACUAGGGUCUACAAGAUUAGUACGAGAAGACACAAUGGGAUGGGUGGAGGAGGACAAGGUGAUGUGUGUAUCGGGAGAAAUUGGGAAAGAAAUUUAACUCACAAAGUAUGAGAGGGUCAUUAGGCAGCCUUGAUGCUCCCAUGAAAUUAUUCAUUGAAAGCGACCCGCGGCUAUUGUAGCUAGAGAAAAAAUCGAGACGAAUCGAUCCCCACCUGGACAUGAGACCAGCGGCUGACUCCACUCCUCUUUGCCUCGUUGCCCUGGACCAUGGCCUAACCCGGGUUUCCCCAGCGACCUUCCUUCCAUCUUGCCCUCGCCGCUUCCUCUGUUCUCCCUUGCACCGCGCAUCUCUGACGCCUCUCCCAUGCCCUUGCCCUCACUGACGUGAGCUCGAACAGGAUGACGGCCACCAAUGGGUUGUGCGUGAGCUCUGCCGUUCGCGGCCCCGAGCUUUGCCCUUUUCUUCAUGCGGGGCAGCCGGUGUAGCUCCUCCUCCCACGCCUCCACCGACAUUAUUUCUUCCUGAGCUCGACCUUGUUCACGGCUGCAGCAACCACGGACUCCUUCCGCUUCUUCCAGACGGCCAACACGUCUAUGCGCGAUUAGCUUGCAUCUUCAUGGCCUCCAACUACGCAGGUGAGUCCCGAACCGUCUCUCUUUCUCCCUGCUCCCUGCAGUUUCUGGAAUCAGGAGCUCUAAACCGGGUUUCCCCUGCGACCUUCCUUCCAUCUUGCCCUCGCCGCUUCCUCUCUUCUCCCUUGCACCGCCCAUCUCUGGCGCCCCUCCCAUGCCCUUGCCCUCACUGACCGAGCUCGAACAGGAUGACGGCCACCAAUGGGUUGUGCGUGAGCUCUGCCGUUCGCGGCCUCGAGCUUUGCCCUUUUCUUCAUGCGGGGCAGCCGGUGUAGCUCCUCCUCCCACGCCUCCACCGACAUUAUAUCUUCCUGAGCUCGACCUUGUUCACGGCUGCAGCCACCACGGACUCCUUCCGCUUCUUCCAGACAGCCAACACGUCUAUGUGCGAUUAGCUUGCAUCUUCAUGGCCUCCAACUACGCAGGUGAGUCCCAAACCGUCUCUCUUUCUCUCUCUCCCUGCUCCCUGCAGUUCCUGGAAUCAGGAGCGGAAGAAGCGGCGAGCGGUUCCAGAGGUGAGCAGCGGGAGGUCUCGGCGGCGAGUUGGCGGCAGCUCCGGGUGGCUUCGAGUGACUGCUGCGCUGAUUCUGGCUUUGUCGGCCGGCGGCAGGGUUGCGGCGUGUUUCGUGCAGCUUGGGUGUCGAGCAAUAGAAGUUCAUCUGACCUUCGUUCCUGCAACAUGGUUCAAAUCAAUUAAAGACCUGAGAUUCAGUUGUAGAAGCUGCAGACAACCAUCGCUGGCGAGGCACAGAAGAAGUUUCCACGGUCAGGUCUACAUUGAGGCAAGGCCAUGUCAAGGACAACACUACUAGGUAGUAAGAUCAUAUAAGAUACUAAUGGGCUCCCUGUAAUCCCAAAGUGCAUUGGCCAACGGAUAGAUAUUUUACAAGAUCUUCUAGAGGCGCUUAAUUUUCGCCAUCAAAAACGACUGCCAAUAAGGUUCCAUCCAACCUGUAUGGGAAUGAUCAUUUAGCAGGCCAAAAACUUACAUAAUUUCCUGUGUUCGGAUUGUGCAAAAGAAAACAACACAAAGAGACCUUCAAAUUCAUACCAGAGUUCACCAAGUUCUGAUUCUAAGGCCAGUGAUUUAAGUCCCUUUUCUUGACUGUACAGUUUAUUAAUAUUCUGCUUGCGGAUAGCUAUAUGCCUUUAUCUUAUCUUUUUAAAUUUAGUUUCAAGAAUUUCAUUUCCAAAGCUGGUGGUUCAUGCCUUUGUUUUUUCAAUAUUCCUUGGAAAAUGUUUGGUGUUUGACUAAGCAAGUACUCAUGUGUAGUUAAAAUUUCCUGUCAUGAGGUGGUGUUCAUUACUAGGUUCAAAGUAUGCUCAGAUUAUCUUCCAAAUCAUGAUGAUGGCUUUUUUUAUCAGCCUGCCCUUAGGUACACUGGAGAUGAAGUUCAAUCACCAGUUCAAACUUCUAUUGAUUAAGCUCAUUGUUAAGUUUAGACAUAUAAUUAUGUGUCUUCAAUUCUUUUUAUUUUCUAUUUUUAUAUGAAAUAAAUCGGCUGUAGCAUACUUGGUUUCCCAUUUUUUUAAUUAUAGAUUUAGGCUGCAUUCAGUUUGUAGGAUUUUUGCAGGAAUCUAGAAGGAAUACUGUUCACAGAGGUUUAUUUUCCUUUGUGGUCGGAAUGCAGGAAUCACCUACAGUAAUUUAAAGUUAACCGGCCCUUCUGAUGCUGAUUCCAGAGGAAAUGAAACAUCUGCCUGGAGCUCAUUUUUUUGCAGAAGACCGCAUACAGACCUACUCCCUCCGUCCCAUAAUAUAAGAACGUUGAGGGAGUAGUUAAAAUAAGCUGAUGUGUAGAUGCAUGUAGGACUACAUAUUAUUGAGAUAUUAGUUCUUCUUGCUGUGGUGGUUCCCUGCAGUUUGCCAUCACAGCUACUUGCACAAGAGUUUCUACUCCUAUGUGGUUUGCUUGAUUUGUGUAUGGCUGAGCAUCUUUCCUAAUUUAGCUCAUUAUAGUUUCACUGAAGGCUGACAGCCAUCUUCGAGACCAACAGGACAAAAAAGAAUGAAAAUCAUCAUCCAUUAAGGUGUUUUAUUUAAAUUCCACAAUCGGCGUUCACACGCAGAACAGAGAGUUUGUACUUUUUCUUUUUGGUCCAUGUGUUCGUAAUGAAACAAAGGACUGGAAUUGAUAAUUUCCUGGCUUAGCAGUCAUUAUCUUAUUAUUCAGGUUCCGUUUUCCCGAUCUUCCGUUGCUACACAUUUUCUGAAAGUUUUUUCUUGUGAAGUGUGUGUCAAAGUGGUUGUCACUGUAUACUUAUAGGCUAUAUUUUGAGCAACCUGGCAGGCAAAAAUAUUAGUGUACUGCACUGUCUCUCUGUAUAUGUUAUCUGCCAGGAUUUUGUGGCACGAUGCAUACAUGCUAUUUGACAUGUGAUUAUCCUGUCCUUAGAAGCAUGUGGUUUGUCCUGAUUUUCUGUAUGCUCUUUGUUCUCCACAGAUUGUACUUAAACAAACUUGAUUAACUCGAGAAAAUAAGUUAUCCUCGGAAAUCUCCUGAUUGAUAGAGCAGUUCAUGCUAUUGUAGGAUAUCUGGUAUAUACUUCAAUUGCACGUGUGAUUAUAUUUAUCAAUGCUAGAAAUAUUUUUUAUUCAUCAAAGGGAGAUUUCCGGAUGCAUACUAAAUUGUUCGUCAGAGAUUAUACUUAGAUAGGCUUGAUUAAAUUGAGCGAAAUAAGUUACCAUUGCAAAUCUUCUGAUCGACAUGCUCUUCUGUAGUAGUUAGUGCAGUAGCAAGGUAGGAGUUGCUUAUAUGUGCGAAAAUAUUCAAUCCAUAAUAUAUCAUAUCAAUGGACAGAGAUGCAUCAAUUCUUUUUCGUUAUUGAUUUUCAUAUCUGUCAUGUGCAGAGUGCCCAUCUAUUAGUUAUGUAGGUUGUGAGUGCAGUUGAAAAUUAUGCACUACUCUUGGUGGCUACGAGCCUUCAUCUCUACAAAAAAUAUCCAUUGAGGAGCCAUCAUGUCUACAGAAAACAUGCAAUGAGGUUGCUUGCUUCCUGUCAGGUUCCUAGGAGGUCCAUCGGGAGAGUCAGGUUAUCCAUCACAUGUUUGUUCAAAUGUCUUGGGAGAACGAGAUGUCAGAUUAUUUUACUUAUAAAUUGUUUGUUUCCUUGGAAGUUACUCAUUUCUGUUACCGUUGUACAAGAUCAACUGUAUUUCCAUUGCUGUCAUUUUUUUUUGUGGCCUACUUCUGUAGGGGAAUGAGAUGUGGGUCAAACUACUCCGAAAUGUUUUGUACCCUUUAAAGCAUUUUUUUGCUACCUCCUUUAGGUUGUUGCACGUGAUACAGCUGUGCGCUUUUUAGAUGCAUUUUUUGUGCUUCUAGAAUGAUAGAAUUGAUGACGUUUGGGCGCCAUUUGGUGCAACAGUAUAUUUUCUUCCUUGCAAAUACGGUGCGUUGCCUUCUACCUUCUGAAUGUUUCCUCAAGGAUUCUUUUAUUUUAUUUCUGAAUAACCAAUCUCAACGGCAGCCUGCUCAUGUAUUUCUCGCUGUACCAAAAACCGGUCUUUCAGUUCUACAUUUGUUGGUAAAACUACAUUGUCAAUUCUAUUUGUUAAAAACAUACUAGAGGUAGUACUUAGGAAAAUGCCUUUGAGACUGAGCUUUUGUCAGGUUAUAGUACCUGCCGUUCCAAGUAUGUUUUGCAAAAGAGAGCUAAGGGAAUUUGGUUUCAGGUGCAGCAUUUUCUGCUAACAGCCAGCCACAGCCUGCCUGGUUAAUUCUUGCACUAAUAAGCAUCGGUCUUUAGGUUGUUCUCCAUUGGUUCCUAAAAACAACAUGAUCACUUUACUACCUUGCUGCAUUAUAGCUUUGCUUUAAUUGAUCGAUAAUGGCUCUGUUAUAAUUGUUCGGCAAGUUGGAUUUGGAAUUUCUAAUUGUCUGAUGAUCUCUGUUCCUUGUGAAUUGGAGGAUGGGCGAGGCUAAGGUACUGACGGCAUUGGACUAGAACUGGCCUCUGAAUUAGCGCACUCAGCCUCUGGAUUAUACCGUUACUUAUUUCUGUGUGCUCAUUUGCCACUUUUGUUGAAUUUCCCUACUGUGUAAUGUACUGAAUGCUACUAUCUGUUUGUGUAACAAACUGAAUGUCAUCUGUUUGAAGUUUCCUAAAACCUUUGCUAAAAAUACAAUGUAUUUACCUCGAUUCUGCUGUAAGUUUGUUCUGAGAAAAAAAAUGCACCCAGACCAGCUUGGAAUGUUGCUGGCUGGCUGCUUCCUACUUA
Long non-coding RNA from Triticum aestivum (bread wheat), 10356 nucleotides. RefSeq lists it as uncharacterized. The record is from RefSeq and is a predicted model, not a curated record. The transcript is spliced from 8 exons. Lineage: Eukaryota; Viridiplantae; Streptophyta; Magnoliopsida; Poales; Poaceae.